GGGCCUAUAGUUUAGUCUGGAGAGCUUUUUGAAAAAAGCUUUAGCAAAAAGUUACAGAAAGAACACAAGAUUGCGGAUCUUGCAACCGAGGUUCGAAUCCUCGUAGGCCCG
Molecule: transfer RNA, 111 nt
Filed under: Candidatus Woesearchaeota archaeon
Lineage: Archaea; Nanobdellati; Candidatus Woesearchaeota
Description: tRNA-Arg
Rfam family: tRNA
About the family: Transfer RNA (tRNA) molecules are approximately 80 nucleotides in length.
Source: RNAcentral